CCGCCAGAGAACUACAAGUGAAAAACUUGAAACUCAAAGGACUUGACGGUGUUCCAUAUCGACCUAGAGGAGCCUGUCCUAUAAUCGAUACUCCCCGCUCCACCCAACCCUAACUGGCAUCUCAUCAGCCUAUAUACCGCCGUCGAUCAGCCUACCCUAUGAAGGCUCAACAGUAGACACAAUAGUCUUAUCACUAAUACGUCAGGUCAAGGUGUAGCAAAUGUUAAGGAAGAGAUUGGCUACAUUUUUUAUUUUAAAAAUACGAAAAAUACUAUGAAACAAUAUAUGAAGGUGAAUUUAGUAGUAAAAU
Molecule: ribosomal RNA, 310 nt
Filed under: Iranolacerta brandtii
Lineage: Eukaryota; Metazoa; Chordata; Lepidosauria; Squamata; Lacertidae
Description: partial 12S ribosomal RNA
Rfam family: Bacterial small subunit ribosomal RNA
Source: RNAcentral